CAGCAGCCGCGGGAAUACGAAGGGGGCUAGCGUUGUUCGGAAUUACUGGGCGUAAAGGGCGCGUAGGCGGCCAUUCAAGUUAGAUGUGAAAGCCCUGGGCUCAACCUAGGAAUUGCAUUUGAUACUGGGGAUCUCGAGUUCGGGAGAGGUGAGUGGAACUGCGAGUGUAGAGGUGAAAUUCGUAGAUAUUCGCAAGAACACCAGUGGCGAAGGCGGCUCACUGGCCCGAUACUGACGCUGAGGCGCGAAAGCGUGGGGAGCAAACAGGAUUAGAUACCCGCGUAGUCCCUGUCUCUUAUAC
RNAcentral lists this ribosomal RNA (301 nucleotides) under uncultured bacterium. RNAcentral's name for it is "partial 16S ribosomal RNA". It matches the Rfam family "Bacterial small subunit ribosomal RNA", at positions 509 to 807 of the family's 1533-position model. The record is from RNAcentral.